Molecule: unclassified non-coding RNA, 377 nt
Filed under: uncultured Bacillaceae bacterium
Lineage: Bacteria; Bacillati; Bacillota; Bacilli; Caryophanales; Bacillaceae
Description: contains 16S-23S intergenic spacer region
Source: RNAcentral
UCCGGUUUGUCACCGGCAGUCCCAUUAGAGUGCCCAACUGAAUGUAGCAACUAAUGGCAAGGGUUGCGCUCGUUGCGGGACUUAACCCAACAUCUCACGACACGAGCUGACGACAACCAUGCACCACCUGUCACUCUGUCCCCCGAAGGGGAACGUCCUAUCUCUAGGAUUGUCAGAGGAUGUCAAGACCUGGUAAGGUUCUUCGCGUUGCUUCGAAUUAAACCACAUGCUCCACCGCUUGUGCGGGCCCCGUCAAUUCCUUUGAGUUUUAAUCUUGCGACCGUACUCCCCAGGCGGAGUGCUUAACGUGUUAACUUCGACACCACAGGGGUCAAUACCCAUGACGUCUAGCACUCAUCGUUUAAGGCUAGGACUAC